This 275-nucleotide ribosomal RNA is filed under the name uncultured bacterium. RNAcentral's name for it is "partial 16S ribosomal RNA". It matches the Rfam family "Bacterial small subunit ribosomal RNA", at positions 338 to 610 of the family's 1533-position model. The record is from RNAcentral.
CCUACGGGUGGCUGCAGUAGGGAAUAUUGGACAAUGGGCGAAAGCCUGAUCCAGCCAUGCCGCGUGAUAGAUGAAGGCCCUCUGGGUUGUAAAUAUCUUUUAUCUGGGAAGAAACACCUCUAUUCUUAGAGGCUUGACGGUACCAGAGGAAUAAGCACCGGCUAACUCCGUGCCAGCAGCCGCGGUAAUACGGAGGGUGCAAGCGUUAUCCGGAUUCACUGGGUUUAAAGGGUGCGUAGGCGGACUGAUAAGUCAGUGGUGAAAGCUCCGAGCUU